CUUUGUGAUGACCACCAUGACAUGCAAAAGGCAUUCCUCAAACUUAAUGUUCCAUGUGGAAUCUGUCAUUAAUCAAGUUUCAGCCUUGUCUGACA
This 95-nucleotide small nucleolar RNA is filed under the name Rasamsonia emersonii CBS 393.64. Its description in RNAcentral is "A. fumigatus snoRNA Afu_455". It matches the Rfam family "A. fumigatus snoRNA Afu_455". Lineage: Eukaryota; Fungi; Ascomycota; Eurotiomycetes; Eurotiales; Trichocomaceae. The record is from Rfam by way of RNAcentral.